Drosophila pseudoobscura is the source of this 796-nucleotide long non-coding RNA. RefSeq lists it as uncharacterized. NCBI's taxonomy places the organism in Eukaryota, Metazoa, Arthropoda, Insecta, Diptera, Drosophilidae. The transcript has 3 exons. The record is from RefSeq and is a predicted model, not a curated record.
UUAGUUAUUCAUAAAUUUGAUAACUGCUCGGCACGAGUGAAAAACAUUCCGUGUUUAAAUUCAAUCAAAGUUGACGUCUGUCGAUUAGCACCAGGCACUGUGUGGGAGGAAAUCCCAUCCGAAAAUGGAACCAAAAGAUCUACGGGCGGAGAAAAAACGGGAAAACAUUGAACCAUACUGCACCUGAUUUCGAUCUCUUCCUCAUGUGGAUCCCUGGCCACAAGGACAUUAUAGGAAGCAGCAAAGUGCCAGGCAUGGAACGGCGCUUGAAGACUUAAAGAUGUCAAUCGACUAAGACCAUAUUCAACUCCAUUUCAAGGGCUAUUAGCCAGACACUUGCGACACUUACAACAUGGAAAUCUCAAUUGGCAAUUAUCCACUUCUGCAGAAAAGGUGAAAAAUAAUUGAAUCUAAAUGAAAGGCAAUGCGACAAUCGACAAUCAAAUACUGGUCCGAAAAUCUGUCCGAUUGGCUGGAAAUAAUUCACUUAACCGAUAAUUCCUGGUACCAUCACUCGUCACUUUGGCUGGGAGCCGGAGUCGGAGCCGGGGUCGGAGCCGGGGUCGGGGACGGGGCUCUCCUGGCCUGCCAAACACUUUAGUGGUUAAACAAUGGAUUUCUGUUGUUGCAGUUGCAUAAAUUUCGGGCUAAAAACAACCCAAUCGACAGAGAGAGAGAGAGCCCAGGACCCGCCCAUUCCUCGCCCUCUGCUCGGUUGCAUGUCACAAACGCUAAAACAACAUGCACUUAAAAAAGCCAGAAACAUCUCGUACUCAUCGCCCCCUACCCCCCCUGC